This 441-nucleotide ribosomal RNA is filed under the name uncultured bacterium. RNAcentral describes it as "partial 16S ribosomal RNA". It matches the Rfam family "Bacterial small subunit ribosomal RNA", at positions 338 to 795 of the family's 1533-position model. The record is from RNAcentral.
CCUACGGGAGACAGCAGUGGGGAAUAUUGCACAAUGGGGGAAACCCUGAUGCAGCGAAGCAGCGUGAGGGAAGAAGUAUUUCGGUAUGGAAAGCUCUAUCAGCAGGGGAGAAGAAAGACGGUAGCUGACUAAGAAGCACCGGCUAACUACGUGCCAGCAGCCGAGGUAAUACGGAGGGGGCAAGCGUUAUCCGGAUUUACUGGGUGUAAAGGGAGCGUAGAGGGCUGUGUAAGUCUGAAGUGAAAGCCCACGGCUCAACCGUUGGACUGCGUUGGAAACUGUGGGGCUUGAGUGCUGGAGAGGUAAGUGGAAUUCCUAGUGUAGCGGUGAAAUGCGUAGAUAUUACGAGGAACACCAGUGGCGAAGGCAGCUUACUGGACAGCCACUGACGUUGAGGCUCGAAAGCGUGGGUAGCAAACAGGAUUAGAUACCCGAGUAGUC